RNAcentral lists this long non-coding RNA (2095 nucleotides) under Capsicum annuum. Its description in RNAcentral is "long non-coding RNA (CANN_LNC014046)". The record is from RNAcentral. Lineage: Eukaryota; Viridiplantae; Streptophyta; Magnoliopsida; Solanales; Solanaceae.
CAGUCAAAAAACAAUCCUUUGAAUGCAGUUGCACAAGAAUUUAGUUUGUUAGACAUACAAUUGACUAAAAUUUAAGUUCCAAUAGUCAUUGUUCAAAAAAAACUCUUUAAACUAUCAAUAAAUUAAGUUGCUUCUAAAAGAGAUUCAGGUGGAAACCAAAUCCUUUGCUUAAAUCUUUACAUAUAUGAUUUCUGAAAGACUCCAGCAUCAAGCUUGCAGUUUUAUUUUGGAGAAAGAAGUUCUUGAAUCCACAUUGAACUAAUUUUUUUUCAAGUCACACGGGAAGAUGCAAAACAGUAACUGCAAGCCACAGUUUCAAAUGAAAUAUUCUAUCUAUAAAUUUAUGUUUUGUAAAAAAACAUUAGCAUGGAGGAGGCAAGGCAAAAAACAAAAGUUAGAACAUUACUCACCUUUGCAGCCUCCUAUAUGCAGAAUUUGAAGUUUGUAAGCUAAAAAAUUGGUGCAUUCUGCCAUUUUUAUUUCCACAACGUCAAAUCUAGAGAUACUGUAGCAAAGUGACAGGACAAUAUUGUUACCAAAUGAAGUAUCACACGCAUACAUCAAAUGUAGCUUAACACAUUUCAAUACUAAAAUGUAUAUGCAUGAAUCAGUUAUGGAAAAUUCUUCAAAACAAACCUCAAAUGAUUGAGAUGAAUAGCUACUGCACACAUUAUUCAUCUACCUGAAUUACACGACAGCCAUAUAGAUGGGUGGAGAGAUUUACAACUUGAUUAAAAAAGUAGAGACAAUAAAUUGUAUGUGUUCUUCUAGUACACAUUUUAUACACUUAUGGAUGACAUGAUUCCCAUUCUGAUCUCGUACACAGCGCAUGACAUGACCAUCUCCUCAACCAUUUUAAUCUACUGGUCCACAUCGACUACUUCUAUCGCCUGCAAGUGAACCAAAAUUUUAUUUUAGCAAAGGUUUGAACUCACAAAGGUCAGAUACCUGGAAAGCAGCCCUAUAAUCAGCCAACUUGUACCUAAGAAGCCAUAUAUCACACAUCAGUCACUGGCAGAGAAAAUAUAAUCUCCAGUAACUAUAUAACAUUGUUGCUUAGAUUGUUAAACUUCUUUUGAACAUUCGAGAGUCCAAUCCAGGUAGAGCCAUUGCAGACGCAUCAGCAGCAUUUUCAAACAAAGGAGGCAGAUUAUAGUUGCCAUGGUGGCCUGUUAAUGGAUUGACGGAAUGACUACCUAAACCAUAAUUGGAAGGACUAUCCAUAUGCGGAUAUUGAGAAAGCACACCACCUCCACCAUUUAAUGUGGAUGUUUAAGAUCCUUUGACCUAUGAAUUAUUAGAGGCAAAGGCAUAUUUGUGCAGACCCUCUUGGAGGUUCGAAUGAACUGUUAAGGUCUGACCAUGCACUAUUUUCGGUAGCAAUGUCAGCAUAUGGUCCUUUUGCAGAGUGAGAUUUAGAAGAUAUACUAAACUGUGCAGAUUUUGAUCUUUUCAGAUAUGCAUGCUGCUUAGCACUAUUCUGACUACCUGUAAAAAUGUAAGAAUAUUAUUUGGUGACAAACAUCGUAUAAGAUUAUUAUUUGGUGACAAGCAUCGUGUCCAGUCUGAGAGAGAUCUAUAUCUAACAUACCAUUAAAAAGACUCAUGCUAGAUAAAGCAGCAAGCAGAUCCACAAACUCUGUGGUGUGAGGGACACCUCUUACACUUUAGAGCCUUACAUGAGAUUCCAACAGUCAAAAAACAAUCCUUUGAAUGCAGUUGCACAAGAAUUUAGUUUGUUAGACAUACAAUUGACUAAAAUUUAAGUUCCAAUAGUCAUUGUUCAAAAAAAACUCUUUAAACUAUCAAUAAAUUAAGUUGCUUCUAAAAGAGAUUCAGGUGGAAACCAAAUCCUUUGCUUAAAUCUUUACAUAUAUGAUUUCUGAAAGACUCCAGCAUCAAGCUUGCAGUUUUAUUUUGGAGAAAGAAGUUCUUGAAUCCACAUUGAACUAAUUUUUUUUCAAGUCACACGGGAAGAUGCAAAACAGUAACUGCAAGCCACAGUUUCAAAUGAAAUAUUCUAUCUAUAAAUUUAUGUUUUGUAAAAAAACAUUAGCAUGGAGGAGGCAAGGCAAAAAACAAAAGUUAGAACAUU